UUUUUUAAGCGUUGUUUAUUUUUUAUUUUUUUUGGUUUUUAUUGGUUUUUUAUUUGUUUUAUA
Molecule: transfer RNA, 63 nt
Filed under: Dirofilaria sp. 'Thailand II'
Lineage: Eukaryota; Metazoa; Nematoda; Chromadorea; Rhabditida; Onchocercidae
Description: tRNA-Phe
Source: RNAcentral